GCGCCCGUAGCUCAAUUGGAUAGAGCAUCAGACUACGAAUCUGAGGGUUGGAAGUUCGAGUCUUUCCGGGCGCGCCA
Molecule: transfer RNA, 77 nt
Filed under: Magnetospirillum fulvum
Lineage: Bacteria; Pseudomonadati; Pseudomonadota; Alphaproteobacteria; Rhodospirillales; Rhodospirillaceae
Also listed under: 6 other names
Description: Phaeospirillum fulvum tRNA_Arg_ACG
Rfam family: tRNA
About the family: Transfer RNA (tRNA) molecules are approximately 80 nucleotides in length. Their secondary structure includes four short double-helical elements and three loops (D, anti-codon, and T loops).
Source: RNAcentral